CUAUGGGACGCAGCAGUAAGGAAUAUUGGGCAAUGGGCGCAAGCCUGACCCAGCGACACCGCGUGAAGGAUUAAGGCCUUCGGGUUGUAAACUUCUAACAAGUAUUAAGAAGGUAUUAUGGUUAAGACCCAUGAUAUCAGACGAAGGUACAAGAUGAAGUCAUGGCUAACUCUGUGCCAGCAGCCGCGGUAAUACAGAGAUGGCAACCGUUGUUCGGAAUCACUGGGCUUAAAGGGCACGUAGGCGGAGAUAUAAGUUAAUUGUGAAAGUCCACGGCUUACCCGUGGAAAGUCGAUUAAAACUGUAUUUCUUGAGAGCAGUAGGGGUGAGUGGAACUUCUGGUGGAGCGGUGAAAUGUGUUGAUAUCAGAAGGAACGCCGGAGGCGAAAGCGACUCUCUGGGCUGUAUCUGACGCUGAUGUGCGAAAGCUAGGGUAGCAAACGGGAUUAGAUACCCUAGUAGUC
This 464-nucleotide ribosomal RNA is filed under the name uncultured bacterium. RNAcentral's name for it is "partial 16S ribosomal RNA". It matches the Rfam family "Bacterial small subunit ribosomal RNA", at positions 339 to 795 of the family's 1533-position model. The record is from RNAcentral.